UGCGUAGGCGGCUUUCCAGGUCUGAUGUGAAAUCUUACGGCUCAACCGUAAAAUUGCGUUGGAAACCGGAAAGCUUGAGUGUGCUAGGGGUGUGUGGAACUUCCGGUGGAGCGGUGAAAUGUGUUGAUAUCGGAAGGAACGCCGGUGGCGAAAGCGACACACUGGGGCAUAACUGACGCUGAGGCACGAAAGCUAGGGUAGCGAACG
RNAcentral lists this ribosomal RNA (207 nucleotides) under uncultured bacterium. RNAcentral's name for it is "partial 16S ribosomal RNA". It matches the Rfam family "Bacterial small subunit ribosomal RNA", at positions 568 to 774 of the family's 1533-position model. The record is from RNAcentral.